Long non-coding RNA from Carya illinoinensis, 2437 nucleotides. RefSeq lists it as uncharacterized. NCBI's taxonomy places the organism in Eukaryota, Viridiplantae, Streptophyta, Magnoliopsida, Fagales, Juglandaceae. The record is from RefSeq and is a predicted model, not a curated record. The transcript is spliced from 8 exons.
CUCGUACCUUAGAGAUUCUCUCUCUCUCACGCGUCGUCUUGUGCAAUUUUAUUUCCUUUCCUUCCGUACAAACUUACUUCACUCAACGCUAGUUAGUGUAGAGACAAAAGACAGACGAAAAUUUCUAGUUUUCCACCUUUGGACUCUUUUCCCGGGGAGUUCUGUCACCGGACCCCGCUGCGAUACGGCUGGGUUCUUAUUCUUGGGUAGGCGUUCGGUGGCCCGAGUAAAGAGCCAGGGGGCCUCCGUUUGCUGCUCCUUGGACUCUUUGGAAACCAAAGUCUCUGACAUGAGUAUAAUGAUUUCCAAUUGGAGCACCAUUACAUGGGAUUUGUGCAUUUUUAUCUACGAAUCAGCUUAAGAUCAGCUUGUCUGAUUGGUUCUUGUCAAAAGGUGGCACACAGAUGAGUAUUCAGAGAAUAGGCUUCCCUACUACGCAGACUCAAGGGUUCUCCAGAUGUUUACUUGUGUGGUCCUAUCAGAAAGUAUAUCACAGACAAAGGGGGCAGGUAUGAUUUGUAGAAUAUGAGAACUUUAUAUGUCUAUUUUGGAAUAAUGAUUCAUUGACUAUUUGAUCCUCCUUGAUUAGCAUCCUCGAGGUUUUGUUUUCUAUGCACAUCCCAAGCUUAAUGGAGUAGGUCACUUUUAUAUCACUUUUGUUCUUCUGAAGUGUCAAACCUAUUAAGAGAAAAGUUGAGGUUGGGUCUUUUCGGUUAGGGGCUUCCUGUGGUAGUACCAUAGCCUAACGGUAUGCAUGCCCCAUCCCUGGGCCAAACAUAAUUGGUCGCAUUUCUGCCACUUUGUUCUUCCAAAGAUGCAAAACUGUUGAGAGCAAAGUUGCAAACUUAUAGUUUUUCACUCAGUGGCUUCCUAUAGUACCAUCUUUGCGUUGUGGUUUGUAUGCCCCCGUCUUUGGGCCAAGCAUAGUCUGUCAUAUUUGUGCCAGUUUGAUCUUCCAAGUUGCAACCCUGUUGGAAGCAAAGAUGCAAACAUUUGAGGUUGGAUCUUUUUGCUCGGGGGCUUCCUAUUGUACAACUAUGGCCUAAUGGUAUGUAUGCAAAGACUCCAGGCAAAAUAGAGUCGGUCACAUUUAUUCCACUUUUCUCUUCCAAAGUUGCAAACCUAUUAAUGAAAACUUACCAACAUUUGAGGUCAGAGUUCUCUCUUGAAAAUCGAGGAUCAUCUAAAGUGGGUGACCGCUGAGUUGGUGAACCAUUCAAUUAAAAAUUUAAGAAAAGAAUUUAAGAAUACCCCCUAAAAUAUUUGAGAAUCUAAACUUGCUUUCUCCUAUAUUAUUGAUUUAUUCCUCUCCUAUGCUAGAACAGAUUCCAUCUUAGGUGGGGAUGUAGACAAAUAUGUGUUUGAUAAAUCCGCCCAUGGAGACACAUAUGUCAUGGGACUUGCAAUGUCAAAGGGCUAUUCUUUUCAUGGCAGCAUAUGAUGUCCGUGGAAUCAAAAGAUUACUUUCGACCCAAUGGAGGGAAUUUGAGAUUUGCAAUAAUAAUUACAAACUAGUAGGAGUGCCUGUUGUCACAGUGCAACUAAGAUACAGUGGUUGGGUCACGGAGUUGCAGGAUCUGCAAUGGUCGAGAUUUCUCUUUCUUUGCAGACCUAGCUCUUGCAUCUCUAGAAGAUUACUACAUUGAGGGACAAGGUUCAUUGCUCCAGUUUUGGCUUUAUUCCCAAAAAUUUCUUCCUUGCUGGCUCAUAUACAAGACGGGUGCCUGGCUGAUGACUGGUUCUGACAAUGUCUCGCAUGGAAGAUGUUAUUUCUAUGUUUACCUAAGGUGUCCAUAAUAUAUUCUGAACAACUCCAUAAGGAGGUGCCAGUGGCUGCACCGAUGAGACCUUACCUCGAAACGAAAUCCAUACGACAUGAGGCAGCUGAUUGUCACAAAAGAGAUGAUUAAAGAAACUUGUAUAUAAGUGUAAUAAUUAGUGGUUCUACCUGCUACGGGAUUACAUAGACAGCAUGGAGGGGCCAACUUUACCUGCAGGUAGGCAAGCAUCUGCAUAUAUAUGUGAUGAGGGGGAAGACUUGGCUUUGCGGAAGAAGCUUGCUGCUAUACAAUCCCAAGAAAAAGCGGAGGCUGCCAACAUUGCUCAUGAGCUGAGUCUAGCAUUUUUCUGAGUCCACCUCAAUUGUGGAGAGUAGGUGGUCGCUUGCGCAGGAAUACGCUUGUUCUUUGUGUGGAAUAUGACGAGAUUAUGUGAAGCAUGAGUCAUUUGUGUGAGGAUCACGCAACCAAACUCGUCCAUACAAUGUUUGCAGCAUGAUUUGUGAAAUCAGAACUUUGAACAUUUAAUUAAAUAAGUGAAGUGUUGAGUUAGGAUUCGAAAUUAUGACUUAUGCUUUGAGAUAAUGUAAAAUUAUCACUUAUUUCAAAAGUUCAAGUCAGGGUGAAUAAGUAUAUUUAAUUAUUUAUAUUUUUCUUAA